Molecule: ribosomal RNA, 292 nt
Filed under: uncultured bacterium
Lineage: Bacteria
Description: partial 16S ribosomal RNA
Rfam family: Bacterial small subunit ribosomal RNA
Source: RNAcentral
GUGCCAGCCGCCGCGGUAAUACGGAGGGUGCAAGCGUUAAUCGGAAUUACUGGGCGUAAAGCGUACGUAGGCGGUGUGUUAAGCAGGAUGUGAAAGCCCCGGGCUCAACAUGGGAAUGGCAUUUUGAACUGGCACACUAGAGUCCUAAAGAGGGUGGUAGAAUUUCCAGUGUAGCGGUGAAAUGCGUAGAUAUUGGAAGGAAUACCGGUGGCGAAGGCGGCCACCUGGUCAGAGACUGACGCUGAGGUACGAAAGCGUGGGUAGCAAACAGGAUUAGAAACCCGAGUAGUCC